UUUCGGAAAGCCGGUGACACGGUCGAUUCCAUCCAACGCAACGGCUGAGGAGAGACCGGGAGCAAUCAGCAAGGCCAGCCCGAGGCCUGCCUCCCGAAUUCUUCUUGUCAGGACUCGGACUGUGAGGUGCCGAGUCAUUUGAGAUCAGCGAGUGAUGCAGGCCCAGGUCCCGGCGUAAUCAAUGUUGGCCACUGGCGUGAACCAAAAGGGACAACCGGCGGCAGGAAAGGUGUCAUUCCCCGUUUGCCGCUCUCCGCGAUGAUCGCGGCGCGCGCGUCGCCCCCCAUCAGUUCGUAAUCCAUCAGAUGAUAGUUUCCGAAG
Molecule: unclassified non-coding RNA, 321 nt
Filed under: Hevea brasiliensis (rubber tree)
Lineage: Eukaryota; Viridiplantae; Streptophyta; Magnoliopsida; Malpighiales; Euphorbiaceae
Source: RNAcentral